UUCUGAAAUGGAUCUGACAGUAAAAGGUACUGAUAUUGAUUGAAAUUUCAAAGGGAAAAUCACUUUGGCUAACCGAGCAUUUAUAAUUUCAAGAACCUUUCUGAUGUAUCUUUCCUGAUUAAGUUUAUAUGUGUUGUUGGUAUUUAUUUCGAAAGAAGACGAGACCAAUGAGUUCUACGAGUUGACUGAUAAAGAUUAUUACAAACUCUUGGCUACUAAAAAGGAAGGCUGUAUUUAGAGUUUGUUUUCCUGAUAAUCACACGUUGGAAGCUACAUUUAAUCCAUCAGAAACUAUCCAAAGUUUAGUUGAUCUACUCAAUAAAGUGAUUGCAUAACCAGAGAAGCCAUUUGAUUUUAUACUAUUACGCCCAAGAAGAAGCUAAUCAAAGAUGUUUCACAGGAUUUCUAUACUGCUGGAUUUUGUCCUGGUGCCAUUGUGUACUUCUCGUAUGAUGUUUCUAAAGGUGAUAGCAGCCAUGAUGGACCUUACCUAUUAGAAGGGGUGAUGUCCUUGAAGGGUUUGGAUGGAUGUUGCUCAAUGCUAAUGAUCAAGGUGGUGCCUCUUGAGCUUGCAACACAACGAUCACUUGCUUCCGAGAGAGACUGAGACGCAUGUGACUUUUUUUUUGGUUUAAUUGAUCAUUUAGUCUCUUAACUUAAUUCUUUUUUUCGAAUUGAUCAUUUAAUUAUUAAACGUUUCAAUUUGGUCAUUUAUCUUUGUUU
Molecule: long non-coding RNA, 723 nt
Filed under: Medicago truncatula (barrel medic)
Lineage: Eukaryota; Viridiplantae; Streptophyta; Magnoliopsida; Fabales; Fabaceae
Description: lncRNA gene26049
Source: RNAcentral